RNAcentral lists this ribosomal RNA (497 nucleotides) under uncultured bacterium. RNAcentral describes it as "partial 16S ribosomal RNA". It matches the Rfam family "Bacterial small subunit ribosomal RNA", at positions 28 to 507 of the family's 1533-position model. The record is from RNAcentral.
GAUGAACGCUGGCGGCGUGCCUAAUACAUGCAAGUCGAGCGAACAGACGAGGAGCUUGCUCCUCUGACGUUAGCGGCGGACGGGUGAGUAACACGUGGAUAACCUACCUAUAAGACUGGGAUAACUUCGGGAAACCGGAGCUAAUACCGGAUAAUAUAUUGAACCGCAUGGUUCAAUAGUGAAAGACGGUUUUGCUGUCACUUAUAGAUGGAUCCGCGCCGCAUUAGCUAGUUGGUAAGGUAACGGCUUACCAAGGCAACGAUGCGUAGCCGACCUGAGAGGGUGAUCGGCCACACUGGAACUGAGACACGGUCCAGACUCCUACGGGAGGCAGCAGUAGGGAAUCUUCCGCAAUGGGCGAAAGCCUGACGGAGCCACGCCGCGUGAGUGAUGAAGGUCUUCGGAUCGUAAAACUCUGUUAUUAGGAAAGAACAAAUGUGUAAGUAACUAUGCACGCCUUGACGGUACCUAAUCAGAAAGCCACGGCUAACUACGUG